RNAcentral lists this unclassified non-coding RNA (336 nucleotides) under soil metagenome. RNAcentral's name for it is "partial contains 5.8S ribosomal RNA, internal transcribed spacer 2, and large subunit ribosomal RNA". The stretch from base 5 to 119 matches the Rfam family "5.8S ribosomal RNA", at positions 40 to 154 of the family's 154-position model. The record is from RNAcentral.
GAUGAGAACGUAGCGAAAUGCGAUAAGUAAUGUGAAUUGCAGAAUUCAGUGAAUCAUCGAAUCUUUGAACGCACAUUGCGCCCGCCAGUAUUCUGGCGGGCAUGCCUGUUCGAGCGUCAUUUCAACCAUCAAGCCCCCGGGCUUGUGUUGGGGACCUGCGGCUGCCGCAGGCCCUGAAAAGCAGUGGCGGGCUCGCUGUCACACCGAGCGUAGUAGAUUUUAUCUCGCUCUGGGCGUGCUGCGGGUUCCGGCCGUUAAACCACCCUUUUAACCCAAGGUUGACCUCGGAUCAGGUAGGAAGACCCGCUGAACUUAAGCAUAUCAAUAAGCGGAGGA